CAGCCGCCGCGGGAAUACGUAGGUGGCAAGCGUUGUCCGGAAUUAUUGGGCGUAAAGGGCUCGCAGGCGGUUUCUUAAGUCUGAUGUGAAAGCCCCCGGCUCAACCGGGGAGGGUCAUUGGAAACUGGGAAACUUGAGUGCAGAAGAGGAGAGUGGAAUUCCACGUGUAGCGGUGAAAUGCGUAGAGAUGUGGAGGAACACCAGUGGCGAAGGCGACUCUCUGGUCUGUAACUGACGCUGAGGAGCGAAAGCGUGGGGAGCGAACAGGAUUAGAUACCCCAGUAGUCCCUGUCUCUUAUAA
This 301-nucleotide ribosomal RNA is filed under the name uncultured bacterium. Its description in RNAcentral is "partial 16S ribosomal RNA". It matches the Rfam family "Bacterial small subunit ribosomal RNA", at positions 509 to 809 of the family's 1533-position model. The record is from RNAcentral.